RNAcentral lists this small nuclear RNA (21 nucleotides) under Arabidopsis thaliana (thale cress). RNAcentral's name for it is "snRNA_11319". The record is from RNAcentral. Lineage: Eukaryota; Viridiplantae; Streptophyta; Magnoliopsida; Brassicales; Brassicaceae.
UAUGUGUAAUAAGCUAAAAGA